ACACACAGAGAAUUAGGGAGGGGGGACGGAAAAGCAGAGAGCAAAAAAGAGAACAGAAGCGGCGAGAUUAGCAACGAGAAAAACCUAGCACCGCAACCUCUUCAUCCCAAAAAUCUAUCUCUAUAGCUACACCACCAUGAAAAUACCAUAGCUAAUCCUCAUUUUCUCCAUUGAAAUAGCUUACGUUUCCAGCACUAAAAUCAGUCACAAAACCCAUUUAUAAUACUAUUUCGGAUCAAGAGUUUAGCGAUUUCAAAUCUUCGGCUCUCUGAAUCUGAGUCAAGUUCGAUUUCCGGUCAAGAGUGUUGAGUUUCUUUUUAAUAUAGAAAGGUAUUAAAAAGAGGGUGAAUGGGAAAUGAGGGAAAUGAAAAUUUUGAGUAAAAUUUUAAGUUUCCCUCUCCUUUUAAUGAGACAUUGUCCCUCAUUGGUAGAGGGAAAGGAGUUUGGUGGGUUUAUAUACAAAUGCACUUCAUGUAGCUCUUAAAGAGUUAAGAAGAAGGCAAGCCUCGCGCCGUCGUCUCUCGGUCGGCUACGGCUACAGCUUCGGGUUCGGCUUCGGGUUCGGCUUCGGAUUCGUAUUCGGAUUUGGUCAAAUGAUUGAUUGAUUAAUUUUUUGGACCAAAUUUAUUUGUUAAUAGUAGAUAUUAACGUAAUAUUAUCUGUGCAAUAGCAGCCGCCUAGUGCUCCUCCCACCAUGGCUAAGUGCUUGCUCCAUAACAAGCUAGUGCAUGCUCCACCAUGGCUUGCUCCAUAACGAGCUAGUGCAUGCUCCACCAUGGAGAGGGGCGGGUCUCACAACUGACUGCUAUAAAUAUGAACAUCAGCAGUUGGAGAAUAGAUAUACCGAAACAGAAUUGAGAACUAUUGAUCUUCUCUUAACCGAAAACUCAACGUUGGCUAUAAUUUG
Nicotiana tabacum (common tobacco) is the source of this 907-nucleotide non-coding RNA. The record is from RefSeq and is a predicted model, not a curated record. Lineage: Eukaryota; Viridiplantae; Streptophyta; Magnoliopsida; Solanales; Solanaceae.